This is a long non-coding RNA of Spinacia oleracea (spinach), 2228 nucleotides long. RefSeq lists it as uncharacterized. The record is from RefSeq and is a predicted model, not a curated record. Lineage: Eukaryota; Viridiplantae; Streptophyta; Magnoliopsida; Caryophyllales; Amaranthaceae. The transcript has 6 exons.
UCUCCCUCCGCCGCUUCUUCACUCUCGCCUACUUUCUCUCUCCUCCCUUUACUCAAUCUCUCAUCUUCGAUCUCUCCUCCCUUCACUCAAUCUCCUUCACUCAAUCUCUCCUCCCUUCCGUCAAUCUCUCAUCUUCGAUCUUUCCUCAAACCCGACGAAUGGAACUUCAUCAUCUCAACGGGUUUCUCUUUAAAAUCACAGAAGCCUCAAAUUUGGGUUUUUAUAAAAAUCGAAGCUUUCUACAAUCUUCAAGAUACCCAGAUUACAAAGUUGGUGAUUAUGCAAUUUUUGAUUCUGAAAUUCAUCUUUUCUGUACCUGAAACUCGGGGAACUCCUGAUUAUGCUAAAGAUAAAGACCCUGCUAAUGGAAGAAGAUACCACAGUCGAACUCCUCCACCACGAGAGAGGUUGAAAUCCUAAGCAAGGAGAUGGUCACAAAUCAUUCACUAGAAGGGUUGAGGAUCAGUACAAGAAAGCGCUAAAAGAAGAGCCUUCCGUGUUUGAUUAUGAUGGUGUUUAUGAUGAUAUGAAAUCAAAAAUGGUUCAGCCGAAAGCCAAAGAUAGACAGCAACGCCAGGGGUAAAGUUUGGAUGAUUCCCACAAAGGAAGAUCUUGAGCGCUUCAGCUUUUGAGUAUGCACAUCUUACCCUCUCUCCUACCCUAUUGGCGGUUCCUUAUGAAUGGCUUAGUUAUAAAGAGGCGUAUGAUUCAACGCUUCAAAUCGGCUCAGCUAUUAGGAAAUGUGGAGUUAAUCCCGUGAGUACAAUUUUAUUCUCCAAUUUUACUUCAUUAUUGGCUCAACUAUUGAAUGAAGUACACAAAUUUCUUGAUGGAUAACUAUAGGAUCCCAUCUGUUGUGAUAUAAUAGAAGAGGCUUCAUUACUCUGUUAAGUAUUAUCGGAAUCAACCUAUUCAAUAUUGAAACCUUUAUUCACCUUCAAACUGUGGCUUUUCGAGAUUUUGUACCUUACUCUUUUUAUCACGAUACAUAUCUUCACAUGAGAUGGGUUCCUAUCGUUCUAAUUUCUGCUCACUCAGUGCAUAUUUCAAUUUCUGUUAGGUUAAAUUCUCUUCUUCUGUACUGUUGACAUCAUUCAAGUCCCAAUCUUUCCAAUUUACCAUAGUGUAAUCAUUUUAAGGUCACUUUAAUCACAACCUAAACCAAACUCAUAACAAUCAGAUGCGUGUUUCGAGGAUAAUCACCUCAAAAGCAGUUGAAGCCAUGCUCCUCAGUGAAGUACUCAAUGAAAAAUAGAUUUAGAAUUCUAGAAAGGAUUAAGAAAACCAAUAGAACAUAAUCUAUGCCAGACACAAAUAACCAGGUUUAGGUUCAGGUUCAUCCAAAACCGAGUUCUGAAUUGCAGGUUAAGAUAAUAGAUAUUCAGGUUGUAGCUUACAUGAGAUGUCUUCAGAGGGCUAAAUUAGUUCUUUUAGUGCCUUAAUAGUGAGUCUGGUGGUGCUUCUGUUUAAUAUGCAACAAGUGUGUUGGGAGCCUGUUGGCUUGCUGCUGGUUUUUUGGUGAGUGCAGGCUGGUAGCUUGCAUCUGUUUUACUGUUUUCAUAUUGGCCACAGCUUCUUUUGGUUGUUUCUGGACUAUGGUGCUCCUGUUUGUUUUGUGUAUGCAGGGGGUUUGCUUAAUAUGGUUUAAAUUGGUAAAUUUAGCCACCUUAUGCCUUCACAGUCCAGUAGUAUUGUUGAUAGUGCUUCUUUAAUGUGUUAUCUUUUGUCUUUGAUUUCUUUUGGCGAUGUAGGUAUUUCCAGCCAAGUAGAUUGUGCUAUCAAGAUACUCAACCUAGAGAUUAAGUUGGAUUCCAUAGUUUGUAUAAUAAAAUAUCGUAAAGAGCAGGAGAAAUAUAUUUAGUUACUUUGGUACUAAGAAUUUGAUUUUUAAUCAUGUAAGCGCAUGAAUAAAUUGUGUUACUAUUUAGAAUUUAAUUUUUUAAAUAGGGACGACUAAUUUUUCUUUAGAUUAGCUUUGCGAACAUUUUUUUCUUGCCUACUACAUAUUUGUGAUAAUUAAUUGUAAUACUACGAUUUUAUAUAAUCUCGCACGCAUCGCGUGCAUAUAAGACUAGUACGAAAUAUAAAGGAACGCACGGACGUCUUAAAUAAUGUUAAUUACCCUUUUUACUCCCCUUUGAUUUGAUUUUUUAAAUUAAAAAAUAAUUUUUUUUAUUUUGCUAACCAUAAACCGAUAAUGAAUGACUAUUUAAUAAUUUAUACGUAUG